ACGUGUAAUAGCCGGCAGUUGUCAUGACUGUCGGUCUAUAAUAACUCUGUUAUACCCUUGUGGUGAAAAUAGGAAACUAGUGUGAUUGUGGCGAGUGCGGUUAAACGCGUGAGCCACAGUCCUCUUCUUAACCCAAAAACAUUAUCAACUCUACUUGUCUAAAGUAACCUUGUGGACCAGAGGGGACUUGUCCUCUUGCAUCACCAAGUAAAACAAUAGUAAUCUAAUA
RNAcentral lists this unclassified non-coding RNA (229 nucleotides) under uncultured fungus. RNAcentral describes it as "sequence contains ITS1". Lineage: Eukaryota; Fungi. The record is from RNAcentral.